Salvia splendens (bonfire salvia) is the source of this 4174-nucleotide long non-coding RNA. RefSeq lists it as uncharacterized. The record is from RefSeq and is a predicted model, not a curated record. Lineage: Eukaryota; Viridiplantae; Streptophyta; Magnoliopsida; Lamiales; Lamiaceae. The transcript is spliced from 5 exons.
AUGCCCCAAAAUCCACCUUAGACGGAAAAGUUAAUUUUUGGUGCAGUAAAUCGCUGAAAUUAGGGUUUUCGGCGAAUAAUUCGAAAUAAAUAACAAAAUAAAUUUUGAUAAUUCAAUAAAUCAUGGAAUACUGAAAUAUAAGUCUUAAAUAAGUGUUAGAAAGGAUAUGUGAGCAAAGAAUUGAGGUUUAAUGAGUUUUAGUACGUUUUUGAGAAAAGUCGUCGAUUAGGGUUUUUCGACGAAUUUGCCGAGAAAUAUUAGGAAUUUCCAUUGGAAAAUAAUUUAUAUGGAAUCUAGAGAUCAAAAUAAGUGUAAUGUGAGUAAGAUUGAGCAAGAAAUUAGAAUUAAAUCGGUGCUCGUAUAGGAAACGCGAUAGAAGGGCAUAAUGGUCUUUCUAAAUGAAUUAAACUAACAUAAUGUCCUAUAUAAAAAGUGACGUUUUUUUUAAGUAUAUUAGGCAUGAGAUGAAUUCAAUUUUUUUUAAGUGUGAAGCAUAAAGAGAAUUCUAGAGAAAUUAUAUAACAAGUGGCUUAAUAAAAAGGUGCCAAAUGGCAAAACUAUUGCCAUACAUUACAAUAAUUGAUGAAGACUAAAUUAAAUACCAAAAACUAUCUUCUUCUUCCUAUUUUUUUCUAAGAAAAACCGUCCACCAUGGGAGAGGAAAAGUCUUGAGGUUCUCAAAUAAGUCUCACCCCGAUUUUCUGUCGAACCGUCGAUUUAAUCGUGUAAACGUUAUGAAACCAACUACACCCAAAUGUAGCAAAUGAAAGGAAAAAGGAUCGGCGAAAGAAGAAAUGUCGAAUGGAAAGGUUUGGAAAUAUCGUCAUCCAGGUUAAUUGGAUCGGGGAUUCCUUUGGAUAUUUCUUUCGUUUCUUCGCCAGCACUGCAUCCUCGGUGGGUCACUGAUCACUGCGGCGUUUGUGUCCAUUUCUGUUAGAUGUGGCAUGUAUAGUAUUUGAAUAUUUGUAACAGCUUCCGCUGUGUUUGUAAAUAGUGUUGGAACUUUUGCUGAUAGGUUAAUGAAUUAAGUUUGGUUUUUAAUUGACCAUAAUUUAUGGUACCGUAAUUGUGACAUUUCCUAUUCGACCGUUCGCCAAUCGGGUAGGGGGUGUUACAAGUUGGUAUCAGAGCCUAGGUUUAGGUGUUCCUAGGCUCUUGGUGGGUUUGAAGUGUGUUUAGUAACAUGCCACAUAGGGUGUCAGUCGUAUUCGAUAUCAGUGACCUGAUGCAGUGGCUACAGUAUGUCAGUAUAGAAGUUUGUCAAACGAGUAUUUGAUAAAGUAUAAGGUCUAAAGUUUACCAAAGUACGGGACAAGAAUUCCCGUGUGACCGAGAAAAGUGGUUAUAUGGGACUGGCCACCCCAUAUAGCUCGAAUCUCGGUAGCGUCAUUUUGGAUGAAAAAAAAAAGCUAUAAGAAUGGUGAGUUGGAAGAAGUAGAAAAUGCUAACAAAUGAAUUUACGUAAAAAGUUGUGAAAAGAAAAAAAAAAAGAAAAGAUACAAGAAGAUGAAAAUGAAAAUGAGCUAAGGUUGGAAGGAAAAUGAUGUAUAUGAAUGUUAUAAAACAAUGUGUGAUUCUAUGUGAAUUGUAAGAUAAUAUAUGAUGUAAUGUAAUUAUCUGAAAUGAAGUACAUCGGUCUUCAUGGUUAUUGGCGCCCUGAUAAAGGCUAUAUGCGAAAAAUGUGAGGACAUGUGAGUUGUAAAAAUGUGGUGUGAUGAGAGAGUUCGGUCAGGCCUCAUGUGGGGCAUUUCGCUUAGCCCACGUACCCGAGUUUGUUGAUAAGCACAUUUGGGACAACAUUGCGAUAAGGUGUAUGAUAUUAUAUGCAACGAUAUGCGAACUAGAUCAUGUGAUAAAAUGUGUUAUAAUAUGUGGACAUAGAAAACAUAUAUGAUAACCCUGAUAUGUGAUAUAUAGUCUGAUAUGCCUUGAUAUAUAUGGUCCAUGUAAUUAGAUUUUGUUAUAUGCGUUUCUACUGAGUUCUGAUAUUAGUGUUAUGAGUUCGAGAUUUGCUGUUGUGAUGACGAAUAUUGAAAUGUGAAUGUUCGAGGUUAUAGAAUGUUAUGUGAAUAAAAUAGUAUAUGUGCAUGAUUGAAAAUUGAAUGAAUGAUGUGAUUUGAAUAUGUGUGUCCUAAUGAAAGAUACUAAAGAGUGUAAGUAAAAGAGAAGAAAAAUGAAUGUUAUGUGCUAACAAGCACUAAAAUAAAUACUUGUGAUUAUACGGGGUGUAAUAAGUUGGUGAAAGGUGAAUGAACUUAUAUGAGAUAAUAUGAGUAUGUUACUAAUGAUUAUAUGGAAAUUUUUGAAAGGAUAAGAAUGGGAUAUAUCCUUUGUAUUUGAUUUUGAUAAAUCGUAUGGAUAUAUGAUAAGUUUUAUACGACGAAGCGGGCUAUCUGAAUGUGAACAUGUGAAUUGAUUGAUACCUGAUAUGGAUGAAUAUGUGUGCUCUAAAUGAGCUAAGCGUACGUGAAAAUGAAGUGUAUGAAUAUGUGAUGUGAAUGGAAGUAUGAAAUCUAUAUGGAUUAUAUGAGUACUCAGAAUCGGGCAAUAUGAAAUAUGAUGUGAUGUGAUGUGACAGGGAUAUAAGCUAAGUAACUGUACAUGAUAUAAGAAGACAACAGGAAUAAGUUAAAAAUGAACUAGAAUGGCGUACGGGAUAAAUGAGUAAUAAAAAUGGUAGCAUUGUCAUAUGAAUGCGGAUGGGGAAUCUGAAUGUGAAAACGCUGAUUAUGUGAUUUUAUAUGCUAUAUGAUGAACGAUUGUUGGAAUAUGAGCUAUGGAUUUGAAAAUGGAACUUAUGUUGAAAUCUGUCAGAUAAUAAAAUGUAAAGAAGUAUGCGAUACAAUUUGAUAAGUAUGCUUAUAUAUAUUAUUGAAUCUGUGACAUGAUGGAACUAAUAAUCUUAAUAUGAUAUAUUAGGGCGAAAUAUGAAAUUAUGUGACAUUAUAUGUGAAAGGUGGAUUAUGUGAUUUUAAGUACGAUUUUGUGGCUUGAUGCGGAAAAUGAGGAUACGCUACGAAUAGGAAAUGACGUAAUGCCAUGAAAUGACAUAAGAGAAACCAUAGCGCUUCAGGAGUACGGAAAUCUGAUGGAAUUUCGAGGACGAAAUUCUUUUUAGGGGGGAUGAGUUGUAAUGCCCCAAAAUCCACCUUAGACGGAAAAGUUAAUUUUUGGUGCAGUAAAUCGCUGAAAUUAGGGUUUUCGGCGAAUAAUUCGAAAUAAAUAACAAAAUAAAUUUUGAUAAUUCAAUAAAUCAUGGAAUACUGAAAUAUAAGUCUUAAAUAAGUGUUAGAAAGGAUAUGUGAGCAAAGAAUUGAGGUUUAAUGAGUUUUAGUACGUUUUUGAGAAAAGUCGUCGAUUAGGGUUUUUCGACGAAUUUGCCGAGAAAUAUUAGGAAUUUCCAUUGGAAAAUAAUUUAUAUGGAAUCUAGAGAUCAAAAUAAGUGUAAUGUGAGUAAGAUUGAGCAAGAAAUUAGAAUUAAAUCGGUGCUCGUAUAGGAAACGCGAUAGAAGGGCAUAAUGGUCUUUCUAAAUGAAUUAAACUAACAUAAUGUCCUAUAUAAAAAGUGACGUUUUUUUUAAGUAUAUUAGGCAUGAGAUGAAUUCAAUUUUUUUUAAGUGUGAAGCAUAAAGAGAAUUCUAGAGAAAUUAUAUAACAAGUGGCUUAAUAAAAAGGUGCCAAAUGGCAAAACUAUUGCCAUACAUUACAAUAAUUGAUGAAGACUAAAUUAAAUACCAAAAACUAUCUUCUUCUUCCUAUUUUUUUCUAAGAAAAACCGUCCACCAUGGGAGAGGAAAAGUCUUGAGGUUCUCAAAUAAGUCUCACCCCGAUUUUCUGUCGAACCGUCGAUUUAAUCGUGUAAACGUUAUGAAACCAACUACACCCAAAUGUAGCAAAUGAAAGGAAAAAGGAUCGGCGAAAGAAGAAAUGUCGAAUGGAAAGGUUUGGAAAUAUCGUCAUCCAGGUUAAUUGGAUCGGGGAUUCCUUUGGAUAUUUCUUUCGUUUCUUCGCCAGCACUGCAUCCUCGGUGGGUCACUGAUCACUGCGGCGUUUGUGUCCAUUUCUGUUAGAUGUGGCAUGUAUAGUAUUUGAAUAUUUGUAACAGCUUCCGCUGUGUUUGUAAAUAGUGUUGGAACUUUUGCUGAUAGGUUAAUGAAUUAAGUUUGGUUUUUAA